This is a non-coding RNA of Chiloscyllium plagiosum (whitespotted bambooshark), 1703 nucleotides long. Lineage: Eukaryota; Metazoa; Chordata; Chondrichthyes; Orectolobiformes; Hemiscylliidae. The record is from RefSeq and is a predicted model, not a curated record.
GGUCCAGUUAUCAAAUUGUUGUGGACAGCUAGUAACACCUUUCCCAAUGGUCAAGAGAGAGCUGAGGGGUUUCCCAGAAGAAAUCGGGACUUAGUUAGGAGUUUGCAUUGCAUACAUAUGAAUGUGCAGACAUGAAUUAAAAGCAGGAUGGACCACUUGGUCCUUUUCAGCCUGUUCCACCAUUCAAUAAGCUUAUAACUGAAGUGAUCAUUGUAUAUUUCCAUCUACCUCUGAUGCGGUUUCAUCUCCCUGCUGAUUAAAACACUCUCUGCUUCUGCCUUAAAUAUGCUCACUGCCUUUUGAGGAAGACAAUUCCAAACAUUGUCAAUCUUCUGACAGAACAAACUUCUCCUCUCUCUUCAAAUGGGAAGCCCAUUAUUUUGAAACCGUGACCCUCCGGCUUGAAGAGAACCUCCCGGGAUUAGUCAGGAAAGUCAUGUUCUUCAUGGAAACCUCCUCAAAUCUACAGAAAUCUGGAAAAUUAGAACCAACUCGUCAAUUAUCUCACCCGCCACAUCUUUGAAGUCCCUGGGAUGAAAUCGAUCAACACCUUGUUAACCUGUGGUUUCAAUGAUUUGCUCAGUUCCCUGGCGAACGCAUUCUUCUUGAGUUCCUCUUUUUCAUUUCCUAAUCUACAACUAUUUCUGGGAUCUUGUAUCCUCUGUAGUGAAGACCAAAGCAAAAUGCCUGUUCACCUGCCUUUUUCUAUGUUCCAGUAUUAAUUCCCCAAACUCACAUUGAAAAGGACCAGUGCUCACCUUGUUAAUUCUGCCUUCUAAAGUAUCUGUAAAACCAUAUUUAAGCAAAAAUUCUAACUAACUUUCUUUCAUAUUCUUAGCUGGUGAUGUGGUGUCUGUAAAGCCUGCAUACAAUUUAGCUGGCACUAAAUUAAAUAAAAUACAUUCAGCAAACCUUUGAAUGCCAGGUUAAAGACAGCCCAGAGCAGGCAUUCUCAUCAUGAAGCUGGGUGUAACUUAAAAUUCUCUGGUUUUUGAUUUAUCUUGAUGUGUGUAUGCUGAGAGAAUUUAGUUGCAGUUUGGAGCUGAGUGUGUGCUGAGGUGGAAAAUGUGCCUUCAGGCUAUUAGGAGAGGACCUAUGGAGUGAUAACUCAAUGCCAAGGAAAACAGUUAUGUACGUCAAAAAGAAGCCCUGGGAACCAUUGAUUGCUCUGCGCAGUUGAAAGAAGCCCACAAGCAAGGUCUGCAGCUGAAAAAGAUUGGAUCUUACAGAAAUACAUCAGCAGCUCACUGAAGCUAGACAUUUCUUAAAGCUGAAAUUGUGCUGAUAAAUACUUAGGAACAGUCUCAAUGGGGAACUCAUUGUCUGGGUACGAAACUGAGUGACCCAGGCAUGAGCAGUCCUUCAGCUUGUCCUAAUCAGAGAGGCUCUGAGUGUCUUUCAAUGCCAGAUUUUCAAAAGUGAAGAUUUUAGAAUUCCUUGUGAAGGAGCUAAGACUUUUUUAUUUAAAUUAGGUGACCUACAGUAUCACUUAGAUCAGGGUGGAAUCGAUCUUGACUGUAUUGGCUAAUUAACAAAGGGUGCUCAAGCACAGUUGAUCUGUUAACUUACGUUUUCCUCAUGUUGAUAUAAAAUGUAUAUAGAAUGUGUAUGGCUUAGAAUAAUUAUCUCACAGAUUCAUUGUACCUGUUUUGCUUGUCUUAGUUUUCAGUAUGCAUAGUAAAAAUUCUUUUGUUUCCAAUUAA